RNAcentral lists this ribosomal RNA (111 nucleotides) under Helicobacter pullorum. RNAcentral's name for it is "partial 23S ribosomal RNA". It matches the Rfam family "Bacterial large subunit ribosomal RNA", at positions 2803 to 2925 of the family's 2925-position model. Lineage: Bacteria; Pseudomonadati; Campylobacterota; Epsilonproteobacteria; Campylobacterales; Helicobacteraceae. The record is from RNAcentral.
GAUGAACUUUCCCUGAAGGUCGCAGGAAGACUACCUGCUUGAUAGGGUAGGGGUGUAAGCAUAGUAAUAUGUUUAGCUGACUACUACUAAUAGACCGUUUGGCUUAAUAUA